CUAUGCGCCUUGCCAGCCCGCUCAGGUGUGCCAGCAGCCGCGGUAAUACGGAGGAUGCGAGCGUUAUCCGGAUUUAUGGGUUUAAAGGGUGCGUAGCGGGAUGCCAAGUCAGCGGUAAAAAUGCGGUGCUCAACGCCGUCGAGCCGUUGAAACUGGCGUUCUUGAGUGGGCGAGAAGUAUGCGGAAUGCGUGGUGUAGCGGUGAAAUGCAUAGAUAUCACGCAGAACUCCGAUUGCGAAGGCAGCCUGCCGCAGCGUUACUGACGCUGAAGCUCGAAAGCGCGGGUAUCGAACAGG
This 296-nucleotide ribosomal RNA is filed under the name uncultured bacterium. Its description in RNAcentral is "partial 16S ribosomal RNA". It matches the Rfam family "Bacterial small subunit ribosomal RNA", at positions 475 to 776 of the family's 1533-position model. The record is from RNAcentral.